This 26-nucleotide non-coding RNA is filed under the name Mus musculus (house mouse). Lineage: Eukaryota; Metazoa; Chordata; Mammalia; Rodentia; Muridae. The record is from RNAcentral.
UGCUGACACUGGUGCCGGAUCUGCUG